This 66-nucleotide transfer RNA is filed under the name Conosia irrorata. RNAcentral describes it as "tRNA-Phe". It matches the Rfam family "tRNA". From Rfam's summary of the family: Transfer RNA (tRNA) molecules are approximately 80 nucleotides in length. Their secondary structure includes four short double-helical elements and three loops (D, anti-codon, and T loops). The record is from RNAcentral. Lineage: Eukaryota; Metazoa; Arthropoda; Insecta; Diptera; Limoniidae.
AUUUAAAUAGCUUAAAAUUAGAGCGUAACACUGAAGAUGUUAAAGUAAUUGUAAAAUUUUUAAAUA